RNAcentral lists this ribosomal RNA (1388 nucleotides) under uncultured bacterium. RNAcentral describes it as "partial 16S ribosomal RNA". It matches the Rfam family "Bacterial small subunit ribosomal RNA". The record is from RNAcentral.
AAUUCGCCCUUAGAGUUUGAUCCUGGCUCAGGACGAACGCUGGCGGCGUGCUUAACACAUGCAAGUCGAGCGAGGUUUGUGGAAGUUUCGGCGGAAGCAAAUCGAGCGGCGGACGGGUGAGUAACGCGUGAGCAAUCUGUCCCGUACAGCCGGAUACCAGAUGGAAACAUCUGCUAAUACGGCAUAAGACCACGGAAUCGCAUGGUUCAGAGGUAAAAGAAAUUCGGUACGGGGUGAGCUCGCGUCCGAUUAGAUAGUUGGUGAGGUAACGGCCCACCAAGUCAGCGACCGGUAGCCGACCUGAGAGGGUGAUCGGCCACAUUGGAACUGAGACACGGUCCAAACUCCUACGGGAGGCAGCAGUGGGGAAUAUUGGGCAAUGGGCGGAAGCCUGACCCAGCAACGCCGCGUGAGGGAAGAAGGUUUUCGGAUUGUAAACCUCUGUCCUCAAGGACGAAGGAAGUGACGGUACUUGAGGAGGAAGCCCCGGCUAACUACGUGCCAGCAGCCGCGGUAAUACGUAGGGGGCGAGCGUUGUCCGGAAUGACUGGGCGUAAAGGGCGUGUAGGCGGUCCGAUAAGUUUGGAGUGAAAGUCCUGCUUUUAAGGUGGGAAUUGCUUUGGAUACUGUUGGACUUGAGUGCGGAAGAGGUAAGUGGAAUUCCCAGUGUAGCGGUGAAAUGCUUAGAUAUGUCACAGAACCCCGAUUGCGAAGGCAGCUUACCAAGAUACAACUGACGCUGAGGCACGAAAGCGUGGGUAUCAAACAGGAUUAGAUACCCUGGUAGUCCACGCAGUAAACGAUGAAUACUAGCUGUUGGUGAUAUAUUGUCAUCGGUACAGCGAAAGUGUUAAGUAUUCCACCUGGGGAGUACGCCGGCAACGGUGAAAUUCAAAGGAAUUGACGGGGGCCCGCACAAGCGGAGGAACAUGUGGUUUAAUUCGAUGAUACGCGAGGACCCUUACCCGGGCUUGAAAGUUAGUGACAGACCCUAAAAGGGGUCCUUCCUUCGGGACACGAAACUAGGUGCUGCAUGGUUGUCGUCAGCUCGUGCCGUGAGGUGUCGGCUUAAGUGCCAUAACGAGCGCAACCCUUGUCGUUAGUUACCAGCGGGUAGUGCCGGGAACUCUAGUGAUACUGCUACUGUAAGGUAGAGGAAGGUGGGGAUGGCGUCAAAUCAGCACGGCCCUUACGUCCGGGGCGACACACGUGUUACAAUGGUCGGUACGGAGGGUUGCUACCCUGCGAAGGGAUGCUAAUCUCAUAAAGCCGAUCUCAGUUCGGAUUGGAGUCUGCAACUCGACUCCACGAAGUUGGAUUCGCUAGUAAUCGCGCAUCAGCCAUGGCGCGGUGAAUACGUUCCCGGGCCUUGUACUCACCGCCCGUCA